AGUGAACGCUGGCGGUAGGCCUAACACAUGCAAGUCGAACGGCAGCACAGUAAGAGCUUGCUCUUACGGGUGGCGAGUGGCGGACGGGUGAGGAAUACAUCGGAAUCUACUUUUUCGUGGGGGAUAACGUAGGGAAACUUACGCUAAUACCGCAUACGACCUACGGGUGAAAGCAGUGGAUCUUCGGACCUUGCGCGAUUGAAUGAGCCGAUGUCGGAUUAGCUAGUUGGCGGGGUAAAGGCCCACCAAGGCGACGAUCCGUAGCUGGUCUGAGAGGAUGAUCAGCCACACUGGAACUGAGACACGGUCCAGACUCCUACGGGAGGCAGCAGUGGGGAAUAUUGGACAAUGGGCGCAAGCCUGAUCCAGCAAUACCGCGUGGGUGACGAAGGCCUUCGGAUUGUAAAGCCCUUUUGUUGGGAAAGAAAAGCAGCAGGUUAAUACCCCGCUGUUCUGACGGUACCCAACGAAUAAGCACCGGCUAACUUCGUG
This 492-nucleotide ribosomal RNA is filed under the name uncultured bacterium. RNAcentral describes it as "partial 16S ribosomal RNA". It matches the Rfam family "Bacterial small subunit ribosomal RNA", at positions 29 to 507 of the family's 1533-position model. The record is from RNAcentral.